CUACGGGUGGCAGCAGUGGGGAAUAUUGCACAAUGGGCGCAAGCCUGAUGCAGCCAUGCCGCGUGUGUGAAGAAGGCCUUCGGGUUGUAAAGCACUUUCAGCGGGGAGGAAGGCGGUGAGGUUAAUAACCUCAUCGAUUGACGUUACCCGCAGAAGAAGCACCGGCUAGCUCCGUGCCAGCAGCCGCGGUAAUACGGAGGGUGCAAGCGUUAAUCGGAAUUACUGGGCGUAAAGCGCACGCAGGCGGUCUGUCAAGUCGGAUGUGAAAUCCCCGGGCUCAACCUGGGAACUGCAUUCGAAACUGGCAGGCUAGAGUCUUGUAGAGGGGGGUAGAAUUCCAGGUGUAGCGGUGAAAUGCGUAGAGAUCUGGAGGAAUACCGGUGGCGAAGGCGGCCCCCUGGACAAAGACUGACGCUCAGGUGCGAAAGCGUGGGGAGCAAACAGGAUUAGAUACCCCAGUAGUC
Molecule: ribosomal RNA, 464 nt
Filed under: uncultured Klebsiella sp.
Lineage: Bacteria; Pseudomonadati; Pseudomonadota; Gammaproteobacteria; Enterobacterales; Enterobacteriaceae
Description: bacterial SSU rRNA
Rfam family: Bacterial small subunit ribosomal RNA
Source: RNAcentral